This 460-nucleotide ribosomal RNA is filed under the name uncultured bacterium. Its description in RNAcentral is "partial 16S ribosomal RNA". It matches the Rfam family "Bacterial small subunit ribosomal RNA", at positions 338 to 795 of the family's 1533-position model. The record is from RNAcentral.
CCUACGGGAGGCAGCAGUGAGGAAUAUUGGUCAAUGGGCGAGAGUCUGAACCAGCAAAGCCGCGUGAGGGAAGACGGCUUUAUGGGUUUUAACCUCUUUUUAUAUGGGAGUAAAUCAGGGUAUGCCUGUUGUCUUGUCCGUAUCAUAUGAUGCAGGAUCGGCUGACUUCGUGCAUGCAGCAGAGGUAAUCCGGAGGGUCCGAGCGUUUUCCGGGUUUACUGGGUUUAAAGGGAGCGUAGUGGGAUUGUUAAGUCAGUUGUGAAAGUUUGCGGCUCAACCGUAAAACUGCAGUUGAAACUGGCAGUCUUGAGUACAGGAGAGGUGGGCGGAAUUCGUGGUGUAGCGGUGAAAUGCGUAGAUAUCACGAAGAACACCAGUUGCGAAGGCAGCUCACUGGACUGCAACUGACACUGAGGCUCGAAAGUGUGGGUAGCAAACAGGAUUAGAUACCCCAGUAGUC